GACAGAGGGUGCAAACGUUGUUCGGAAUUACUGGGCGUAAAGCGCGUGUAGGCGGCCCUGCAAGUCGGGUGUGAAAUCCCACGGCUCAACCGUGGAAGUGCACUCGAAACUGCAGGGCUAGAGUCCUGGAGAGGAAGGUGGAAUGCUUGGUGUAGAGGUGAAAUUCGUAGAUAUCAAGCGGAACACCGGUGGCGAAGGCGGCCUUCUGGACAGUGACUGACGCUGAGACGCGAAAGCGUGGGGAGCGAACAGG
RNAcentral lists this ribosomal RNA (253 nucleotides) under uncultured bacterium. Its description in RNAcentral is "partial 16S ribosomal RNA". It matches the Rfam family "Bacterial small subunit ribosomal RNA", at positions 524 to 776 of the family's 1533-position model. The record is from RNAcentral.